GAUGAACGCUGGCGGCGUGCCUAAUACAUGCAAGUCGAGCGAACGGACGAGAAGCUUGCUUCUCUGAUGUUAGCGGCGGACGGGUGAGUAACACGUGGAUAACCUACCUAUAAGACUGGGAUAACUUCGGGAAACCGGAGCUAAUACCGGAUAAUAUUUUGAACCGCAUGGUUCAAAAGUGAAAGACGGUCUUGCUGUCACUUAUAGAUGGAUCCGCGCUGCAUUAGCUAGUUGGUAAGGUAACGGCUUACCAAGGCAACGAUGCAUAGCCGACCUGAGAGGGUGAUCGGCCACACUGGAACUGAGACACGGCCCAGACUCCUACGGGAGGCAGCAGUAGGGAAUCUUCCGCAAUGGGCGAAAGCCUUACGGAGCAACGCCGCGUGAGUGAUGAAGGUCUUCGGGUCGUAAAACUCUGUUAUUAGGGAAGAACAUAUGUGUAAGUAACUGUGCACAUCUUGACGGUACCUAAUCAGAAAGCCACGGCUAACUACGUG
This 497-nucleotide ribosomal RNA is filed under the name uncultured bacterium. Its description in RNAcentral is "partial 16S ribosomal RNA". It matches the Rfam family "Bacterial small subunit ribosomal RNA", at positions 28 to 507 of the family's 1533-position model. The record is from RNAcentral.